RNAcentral lists this ribosomal RNA (509 nucleotides) under uncultured bacterium. RNAcentral's name for it is "partial 16S ribosomal RNA". It matches the Rfam family "Bacterial small subunit ribosomal RNA", at positions 28 to 507 of the family's 1533-position model. The record is from RNAcentral.
GACGAACGCUGGCGGCGUGCUUAACACAUGCAAGUCGAACGAAGAGCGAUGGAAGCUUGCUUCUAUCAAUCUUAGUGGCGAACGGGUGAGUAACGCGUAAUCAACCUGCCCUUCAGAGGGGGACAACAGUUGGAAACGACUGCUAAUACCGCAUACGAUCUAAUCUCGGCAUCGAGGAUAGAUGAAAGGUGGCCUCUACAUGUAAGCUAUCACUGAAGGAGGGGAUUGCGUCUGAUUAGCUAGUUGGAGGGGUAACGGCCCACCAAGGCGAUGAUCAGUAGCCGGUCUGAGAGGAUGAACGGCCACAUUGGGACUGAGACACGGCCCAGACUCCUACGGGAGCAGCAGUGGGGAAUCUUCCGCAAUGGACGAAAGUCUGACGGAGCAACGCCGCGUGAGCGAUGACGGCCUUCGGGUUGUAAAGCUCUGUUAAUCGGGACGAAAGGCCUUCUUGCGAAUAGUGAGAAGGAUUGACGGUACCGGAAGAGAAAGCCACGGCUAACUACGUG